UCGUAUAAAACUGAUAAAAAACGCUAAUAGUUUGCUUAGCCUACUUAAAUUUCAGAUGUUUGUACAUUGUGUUAUAUAUGACUAUAGAUCACUUUCAUACUAAGUCCCCUUUAAACCUUACAUUUAUGCCAAUGACUCGAUUACCCGUUUGACCAAUGAGAGACAGAUUUUCAAAAGAUCUCGAAAGCGCCGAGAAAAGUAUUUCUUGAACCUUGGAAUUCCUUCCGUGAUUAAAACGUGACAAAAAUAACAUGUGAUAUACACAGUCUUAGAUGCCAGUGGCAUAUUAUUUGCCACCUAGUUGAAAAACGUUAUUACGCACAUGCUACUCCGUUAUGUAACUUAACGUUGUGUCAUCAUCGAACUAGUAUAUUCACCCUGCAACAGGUAGAUAGAGGGACACACACGAUCAAACUCGGGGAAGCAGCGUCAAUAGGUACAAAAACAAAACUGGAGUUGCUACUGCAGGAAGCUCUACACGUAGUGGUGGUCUUGGUGACUUGGGGCCAUGCUGCGUAUUUGUACACGGAGAAGUACCCCUGGAGACUUGAUGUGUGGCAUUUGGCGUGUAUUCGAUGGGCUGAUUUGAUGUUGCACUGGAUUCUAUUUUUCCUCUAUCGCAGCCAGCUACAUCUGUUGAUGGGUAUUUGGCAUGUCAUAAAAGUACCAAGCAUCGCUCAUAGCUUCGAUGACAUGAUCCCAGGCCUUGGGGAGAAACUGUUGCGUUUUCAGCCCGCCAACGCCGUGGACGUUGCAACAUACCUCACCACCGCCCUUACGAUAACCUCCCUGAAUGCAAAAGUGGUCGGCUCUUUGAUGUAUGCCUUGCUGAAAUGGCAAGGCCUCUAUUACUGACCCUUUUACCUACAUGAUAUAACAACUCUGAAAAAAUAGAAUCCGAAUUUAUAUUCCACGUGCACUUGAUUUAUCUUCUUUUUGUCGAGUUUUAUGGGAAAAAACGAAUGUAAUUGAACUCAUUUGUUAUUAAAGGCAUAAUAAACACAUCCUUUGACGUC
Lingula anatina is the source of this 1016-nucleotide long non-coding RNA. RefSeq lists it as uncharacterized. The record is from RefSeq and is a predicted model, not a curated record. NCBI's taxonomy places the organism in Eukaryota, Metazoa, Brachiopoda, Lingulata, Lingulida, Lingulidae.